AGAGUUUGAUCCUGGCUCAGAACGAACGCUGGCGGCAGGCCUAACACAUGCAAGUCGAGCGGACAACCUUCGGGUUGUUAGCGGCGAACGGGUGAGUAACACGUGAGAAUCUGCCUUGUUCAAGGGGAUAGUCCAAGGAAACUUGGGGUAAUACCGUAUGAUUCCUGUGAUCAGGUAAAGAAAGAUUUCUUUCGGAACAAGAUGAGCUUGCGGUAGAUUAGCUAGUUGGUAAGGGUAAAAGCCUACCAAGGCAACGAUCUAUAGCUGGUCUGUGAGGACGACCAGCCACAUUGGGACUGAGACAAGGCCCAACCUUCUAUGGAAGGCAGCAGUGGGGAAUAUUGGACAAUGGGCGCAAGCCUGAUCCAGCUAUGCCGCAUGAGUAACGAAGGUCUUACAAAGGGGUACAAAAUAUGUACUUUAGACUGUAAAACUCAAUUUAUUAGUGAUAAUAAUGAUGUUAACUGAUAAAAGCUCCGGCCAACUUCGUGCCAGCAGCCGCGGUAAUACGAGGGGAGCGAGUGUUGUUCGGUUUUAAUGGGCGUAAAGGGUGCGUAGGCUGUUCUGUAAGUCAAUAGUCAAAUCUUGGAGCCCAACUCUAUAAAGGGUAUUGAUACUGCAUUACUACGAACUUAACAGGGGUGUAACACAAUUCCAAGUGUAGGGGUGAAAUCCGUUGAUAUUUGGAGGAGUACCAGAGGCGAAGGCGGUUCACUAGGUUAAGUUGACGCUGAGGCACGAAAGCGUGGGGAGCAAACAGGAUUAGAUACCCUGGUAGUCCACGCCCUAAACGAUGAGUGCUAACAAGUUGAGUAUCAAAUGCCCUUAUCAAAGAUGUGUUUUCGAACACAUCAGAGGUUUGGUCUACAUUUAUAUUUGAUUGGGAAAGCUAACGCGUUAAGCACUCCGCCUGGGGACUACGGUCGCAAGGCUAAAACUCAAAGGAAUUGACGGAGACCCGCACAAGCGGUGGAGCAUGUGGUUUAAUUCGAAGCUACACGAAGAACCUUACCAGCUCUUGACAUUUUAGGCUAA
Molecule: ribosomal RNA, 1035 nt
Filed under: Candidatus Hodgkinia cicadicola
Lineage: Bacteria; Pseudomonadati; Pseudomonadota; Alphaproteobacteria; Hyphomicrobiales
Description: bacterial SSU rRNA
Rfam family: Bacterial small subunit ribosomal RNA
Source: RNAcentral